GAUGAAGAAUGUAGCGAAAUGCGAUAAGUAGUGUGAAUUGCAGAAUUCAGUGAAUCAUCGAAUCUUUGAACGCACAUUGCGCCCUUUGGUAUUCCAAAGGGCAUGCCUGUUCGAGCGUCAUUUGUACCCUCAAGCUUUGCUUGGUGUUGGGCGUCUUGUCUCUAGCUUUGCUGGAGACUCGCCUUAAAGUAAUUGGCAGCCGGCCUACUGGUUUCGGAGCGCAGCACAAGUCGCACUCUCUAUCAGCAAAGGUCUAGCAUCCAUUAAGCCUUUUUUUCAACUUUUGACCUCGGAUCAGGUAGGGAUACCCGCUGAACUUAAGCAUAUCAAUAAGCGGAGGA
Molecule: unclassified non-coding RNA, 341 nt
Filed under: soil metagenome
Description: partial contains 5.8S ribosomal RNA, internal transcribed spacer 2, and large subunit ribosomal RNA
Rfam family: 5.8S ribosomal RNA (bases 1-120)
Source: RNAcentral